Molecule: ribosomal RNA, 492 nt
Filed under: uncultured bacterium
Lineage: Bacteria
Description: bacterial SSU rRNA
Rfam family: Bacterial small subunit ribosomal RNA
Source: RNAcentral
AUUGAACGCUGGCGGCAUGCUUUACACAUGCAAGUCGAACGGCAGCGCGGGGCAACCUGGCGGCGAGUGGCGAACGGGUGAGUAAUACAUCGGAACGUACCCAGAAGUGGGGGAUAACGUAGCGAAAGUUACGCUAAUACCGCAUACGACCUAAGGGUGAAAGUGGGGGACCGCAAGGCCUCAUGCUUUUGGAGCGGCCGAUGUCUGAUUAGCUAGUUGGUGAGGUAAAGGCUCACCAAGGCGACGAUCAGUAGCUGGUCUGAGAGGACGACCAGCCACACUGGGACUGAGACACGGCCCAGACUCCUACGGGAGGCAGCAGUGGGGAAUUUUGGACAAUGGGGGCAACCCUGAUCCAGCAAUGCCGCGUGAGUGAAGAAGGCCUCGGUUGUAAGCUCUUUGUCAGGGAGAACGAUAUCCUCUAAUACAGGUGUAAUGACGGUACCUGAAGAAUAAGCACCGGCUAACUACGUAGCCAGCAGCCGCGGUAAU